UGCCGUGAUGGUGUAAUUUGCGUCCGACUCUGUAACCAGCGACAGUUGCCUGCUGUCUGAUGCUGGCGCAGAGGGGUGACGACGACCGAGGCUGAGCG
Small nucleolar RNA from Pygocentrus nattereri (red-bellied piranha), 98 nucleotides. Its record names the gene SNORD16. It matches the Rfam family "Small nucleolar RNA SNORD16". Rfam says of the family: U16 is a member of the C/D class of snoRNA which contain the C (UGAUGA) and D (CUGA) box motifs. U81 acts as a guanine methylation guide and is found in an intron of ribosomal proteins L1 gene in animals. This snoRNA was independently named MBII-98 in mouse. Lineage: Eukaryota; Metazoa; Chordata; Actinopteri; Characiformes; Serrasalmidae. The record is from Ensembl.